Molecule: transfer RNA, 57 nt
Filed under: Acanthocheilonema viteae
Lineage: Eukaryota; Metazoa; Nematoda; Chromadorea; Rhabditida; Onchocercidae
Description: tRNA-Asp
Source: RNAcentral
AAAGAUUUAGUAUAUUUAGUGUAUUGUCUGUUGUCUGCUGGCAGGAAUUUGUCUUUU